AUUGAACGCUGGCGGCAGGCCUAACACAUGCAAGUCGAGCGGAUGAAGGGAGCUUGCUCCUGGAUUCAGCGGCGGACGGGUGAGUAAUGCCUAGGAAUCUGCCUGGUAGUGGGGGAUAACGUCCGGAUACGGGCGCUAAUACCGCAUACGUCCUGAGGGAGAAAGUGGGGGAUCUUCGGACCUCACGCUAUCAGAUGAGCCUAGGUCGGAUUAGCUAGUUGGUGGGGUAAAGGCCUACCAAGGCGACGAUCCGUAACUGGUCUGAGAGGAUGAUCAGUCACACUGGAACUGAGACACGGUCCAGACUCCUACGGGAGGCAGCAGUGGGGAAUAUUGGACAAUGGGCGAAAGCCUGAUCCAGCCAUGCCGCGUGUGUGAAGAAGGUCUUCGGAUUGUAAAGCACUUUAAGUUGGGAGGAAGGGCAGUAAGUUAAUACCUUGCUGUUUUGACGUUACCAACAGAAUAAGCACCGGCUAACUUCGUG
This 484-nucleotide ribosomal RNA is filed under the name uncultured bacterium. RNAcentral's name for it is "partial 16S ribosomal RNA". It matches the Rfam family "Bacterial small subunit ribosomal RNA", at positions 30 to 507 of the family's 1533-position model. The record is from RNAcentral.